GGCCUAUCAGCUUGUUGGUGGGGUAAUGGCCUACCAAGGCGUCGACGGGUAGCCGGCCUGAGAGGGUGAUCGGCCACAUUGGGACUGAGACACGGCCCAGACUCCUACGGGAGGCAGCAGUGGGGAAUAUUGCACAAUGGGCGCAAGCCUGAUGCAGCGACGCCGCGUGGGGGAUGACGGCCUUCGGGUUGUAAACUCCUUUCGACAGGGACGAAG
RNAcentral lists this ribosomal RNA (216 nucleotides) under uncultured Actinomycetes bacterium. Its description in RNAcentral is "uncultured actinobacterium partial 16S ribosomal RNA". It matches the Rfam family "Bacterial small subunit ribosomal RNA", at positions 235 to 450 of the family's 1533-position model. Lineage: Bacteria; Bacillati; Actinomycetota; Actinomycetes. The record is from RNAcentral.